CGGCGUGUAGCUCAGCAAGCAGAGCACCGGGCUUCUCACCCGGAGGGCGCGGGGGCAGGGCCCGCCACGUCGG
RNAcentral lists this transfer RNA (73 nucleotides) under Streptomycetaceae bacterium. It matches the Rfam family "tRNA". Rfam says of the family: Transfer RNA (tRNA) molecules are approximately 80 nucleotides in length. Their secondary structure includes four short double-helical elements and three loops (D, anti-codon, and T loops). Lineage: Bacteria; Bacillati; Actinomycetota; Actinomycetes; Kitasatosporales; Streptomycetaceae. The record is from Rfam by way of RNAcentral.